AGAGACUGUAUGGAACCCUACCUUCCUUCAGAUGAUGGCAAAUCCUCCCGGGUCCUAUAGAACGGUUCUCUCUCUUGCCUUUAGGUUCUUCUCCCCAGCUAGGGUUCACAGGGUUACUUUCCUGACAAUCAGGUGAAGCUGACUAUGUGACCUCAGGCCAUCAAGCUCCAGAUGAUCCUCAGUGAGGGAUACCGCUCUCUCAGUAUUCAAGAGUCACCCUUCCACAGAGAAGCCCUAGACUGCCCAUCAGUGGAAUAUGAGAGAGAGCCAGAGCCUUCAGACCAAGACAAUCGAACAUCCCUGGAUAUCUGAGAUAGCCAGCCUUUCUUCUGGAGAGCUUCCCAGUUGGCAUGAUGACAACGUAUUUGGCCCUGGCAAUAGAUUAUGGCUGGUACAAACCAGUUCUCAGGAUAUCUUACAACUAGAGGCAGCCUUAAGACCCUGUUUUGUCGAGAAUACCUACUUGGAAGUCUAGUCAAAAGUGGCAGCUCACCCUCCUGUUUCAACUCAGAAGUCCUUCUCCAUUACCACCCCUGUCAAGUGAGGAGCUGCUGUUUCUCCUACUAAUGAGCAGAGCAGAUCAAACAUCAAACUGCCAAAGACAGAAAAUUAUUUACUGAUGUACAUUAUUUGACAAACUAUUCAAAGGAAUGACCCCACUAUUUAUGCAGUUUUAAGCAGAGAAGGAGAGUCUCCAGGAACUAUACGAAUUAAUCAACUUGAGCAAUCAGCCUGUUUUACAGCCUCCUGCCUUGGAGACUACUUUUUCCAAAACUCUAUGUGGGAUGUGGUCACCUAGUUGGUUGGAACCAGCUCCUGACAGACCCCAGCAACUGACAGAUGAACCUGAGUGAACUUUCCUCAUUAUCAUGCUAAAGUCUCCAUCCCGAAAGGAACUAUAGCUUCAUUACCAGAACAUGCAACCUUUGUGCUGGCAUAAAGGCUCACUGCGUCUAAAGCAACUGGGACCCGUCCCGUACAUGUGAUGAUGCACACUCUCCUCUCUCCAUAGCGCCAUAAACUCUCUCAGGGAGACACUGCUUUGAGGAAUGCUUCCUUACUUGUGCUAAGUAAUAAAACUCCUAUUGAUUAAAAUUUACAUUCUUGUGGAUUCGUUUGUUACUGGACAAGUGAGUGAAUUCAUUUUUUUUCAGGUUAGUCAUCAAAAUAAACUUUGUGGAUAUGAUUGUACAUUACUUAUUCUUUUAUUCUCAUACCUCCAUUUAUAUUCAUGUUCUGUUAAUUCUACAUUCCUAAAGAAUUAAACUUUCUCUUCCAAAAGAUCUAUUAUGGCCUUUAUACAAUGUCUUUAUAAUUUUCUAUGAGAACUAUUGAAGUAGCUGCCUAAUUAAUAUCUCCGUCUUAGGUUUGUAACCUUUUUGUUCAUUUUCUAGUCUUCUAUCAAAGUAAUCUUUCUCAAAUAUAAAUCUGGUCAUAUUUGUUCCAUGCUUACAUCUCUUUGAUUACUUCCCAUUAUCUACUAAAAAAUGUUCAAAUGUCUGGCUCGAGAAACAUGAUCUUCUUGAUGAUUUUGCUGGCUUUUUCAUCUUCAUUUUCUACUUGUGACCCCUUGAAUCCAACAAACCAGUUAUAAUAAAGCAU
Molecule: long non-coding RNA, 1602 nt
Organism: Homo sapiens (human)
Lineage: Eukaryota; Metazoa; Chordata; Mammalia; Primates; Hominidae
Source: Ensembl